RNAcentral lists this ribosomal RNA (526 nucleotides) under uncultured eukaryote. RNAcentral describes it as "SSU rRNA". It matches the Rfam family "Eukaryotic small subunit ribosomal RNA", at positions 75 to 604 of the family's 1831-position model. The record is from RNAcentral.
UAUACAGCGAAACUGCGAAUGGCUCAUUAUAUAAGUUAUCGUUUAUUUGAUAGUGCCUUACUACUUGGAUAACCGUGGUAAUUCUAGAGCUAAUACAUGCUAAAAACCCCGACUUCGGAAGGGGUGUAUUUAUUAGAUACAAAACCAAUGCCCUUCGGGGCUCUUUGGUGAUUCAUGAUAACUAUACGAAUCGCACGGCCUUGCGCCGGCGAUGGUUCAUUCAAAUUUCUUCCCUAUCAACUUUCGAUGUUUGGGUAUUGGCCAAACAUGGUUGCGACGGGUAACGGAGGGUUAGGGCUCGACCCCGGAGAAGGAGCCUGAGAAACGGCUACUACAUCCAAGGAAGGCAGCAGGCGCGCAAAUUACCCAAUCCCGACUCGGGGAGGUAGUGACAAUAAAUACUGAUACAGGGCCCUUUCGGGCCUUGUAAUUGGAAUGAGUACAAUUUAAAUCCCUUAACGAGGAACAAUUGGAGGGCAAGUCUGGUGCCAGCAGCCGCGGUAAUUCCAGCUCCAAUAGCGUAUAU